Molecule: ribosomal RNA, 371 nt
Filed under: uncultured organism
Description: bacterial SSU rRNA
Rfam family: Bacterial small subunit ribosomal RNA
Source: RNAcentral
CGGGGGGGCAAGCGUUGUUCGGAAUUACUGGGCGUAAAGGGCUCGUAGGCGGCCAACUAAGUCAUACGUGAAAUCCCUCGGCUUAACCGGGGAACUGCGUCUGAUACUGGAUGGCUUGAGUUCGGGAGAGGGAUGCGGAAUUCCAGGUGUAGCGGUGAAAUGCGUAGAUAUCUGGAGGAACACCGGUGGCGAAGGCGGCAUCCUGGACCGAUACUGACGCUGAGGAGCGAAAGCCAGGGGAGCAAACGGGAUUAGAUACCCCGGUAGUCCUGGCCCUAAACGAUGAAUGCUUGGUGUGGCGGGUAUCGAUCCCUGCCGUGCCGAAGCUAACGCAUUAAGCAUUCCGCCUGGGGAGUACGGUCGCAAGGCUG